RNAcentral lists this ribosomal RNA (492 nucleotides) under uncultured bacterium. RNAcentral's name for it is "partial 16S ribosomal RNA". It matches the Rfam family "Bacterial small subunit ribosomal RNA", at positions 29 to 507 of the family's 1533-position model. The record is from RNAcentral.
AGUGAACGCUGGCGGUAGACCUAACACAUGCAAGUCGAACGGCAGCACAGUAAGAGCUUGCUCUUACGGGUGGCGAGUGGCGGACGGGUGAGGAAUACAUCGGAAUCUACUUUUUCGUGGGGGAUAACGUAGGAAAACUUACGCUAAUACCGCAUACGACCUACGGGUGAAAGCAGGGGAUCUUCGGACCUUGCGCGAUUGAAUGAGCCGAUGUCGGAUUAGCUAGUUGGCGGGGUAAAGGCCCACCAAGGCGACGAUCCGUAGCUGGUCUGAGAGGAUGAUCAGCCACACUGGAACUGAGACACGGUCCAGACUCCUACGGGAGGCAGCAGUGGGGAAUAUUGGACAAUGGGCGCAAGCCUGAUCCAGCCAUACCGCGUGGGUGAAGAAGGCCUUCGGGUUGUAAAGCCCUUUUGUUGGGAAAGAAAAGCAGCAGGUUAAUACCCCGCUGUUCUGACGGUACCCAAAGAAUAAGCACCGGCUAACUUCGUG